UACGUAGGGGGCAAGCGUUGUCCGGAAUCAUUGGGCGUAAAGCGCGCGUAGGCGGCCCGGUAAGUCCGUUGUGAAAGUCAAAGGCUCAACCUUUGAACGCCGAUGGAUACUGCCGGGCUAGAGUCCGGAAGAGGCGAGUGGAAUUCCUGGCGUAGCGGUGGAAUGCGCAGAUAUCAGGAGGAACACCAAUAGCGAAGGCAGCUCGCUGGGACGGUGCUGACGCUGAGGCGCGAAAGCGUGGGGAGCAAACAGG
This 253-nucleotide ribosomal RNA is filed under the name uncultured bacterium. RNAcentral's name for it is "partial 16S ribosomal RNA". It matches the Rfam family "Bacterial small subunit ribosomal RNA", at positions 524 to 776 of the family's 1533-position model. The record is from RNAcentral.